RNAcentral lists this long non-coding RNA (3936 nucleotides) under Olea europaea (common olive). Its description in RNAcentral is "long non-coding RNA (OEUR_LNC007646)". Lineage: Eukaryota; Viridiplantae; Streptophyta; Magnoliopsida; Lamiales; Oleaceae. The record is from RNAcentral.
UUCCCUGCCACAAAAAGAAAAAUAUUAGGAAAACUUUAGUUUAUUCUUCAUGUGAAAUUUGUAAGUUCUUUGUUAAAUUAUGUGACAAGUCUUAGAUUUAGAUUUACUCAAUAAAAGCUAAAGAAAAUAUUGCGCGACAAUUUUUGUAUUAGCAAUUCGUUUAGUGUCAAACACAACUUAUUCUAGCAAUAAAUAGCCAAAAUUAACCCGCUGAAAAUCAAAGAUCUGUUUGCAUUAACAAUCAAAGUGUAGAGGAUGAACUGGGCUACCUCAAAUGCCUUAAAUGCGACAUUCCAUUUUUUCAGAAAACAUAAUACGAAAAACUUUCCAAGUUGUACAGUUUAGCAAGUUUUUUUUUUUUUUUAUGCAUAUAUAAAUAUAGCAAUGCGGAAAAUUGACCCCGUAACCUGAUGUUGCAGUUCCCCGCUACGAAAAGAAAAAUAUUAGGAAAACUUUAGUUGAUUCUUCCAAUCAAAUUGGUAAGUUCUUUGUUAAAUUAUGUGAGAAGCCUUAGAUUUAGAUUUCAUCAAUACAAGCUAAAGAAAAUAUUGUGCGACAGUUUGUGUGUACAAAUCUCAAAUUUUUGUGUUAGCAAUUUGUUUAUUGUCAAAGCACAAAUUAUUCUAGCAAUAGAUAGCCAAAAUUAACCCGCUGAAAAUCAAAGAUCUAUCUGCAAUGACAAUCAAAGUGUAGAGGAUGAAGUGGGCUACCUCAAAUGCUUUUAAUGCAACAUUCCAUUUUUUUAGAAAACGUAAUAUGAAAAUUUUCCAAUUUGUACAGUUUAGAAAGAUUUUUUUUUAUGCAUAUAUAAACAUGACAAUGCGGAAAACUGACCUGCGUACGACCUGAUGUUGCAAUUCCCUGCCAGGAAAAGAAAAAUAUUAGGAAAACUUUAGUUUAUUCUUCCAGUCAAAUUGGUAAGUUCUUUGUUAAAUUAUGUGACAAGCCUUAGAUUUAGAUUUCCUCAAUACAAGCUAAAGAAAAUAUUAAGCGACAGUUUGUGUGUACAAAUCUCAAAUUUUCGUAUUAGCAAUUUGUUUAGUGUCAAACACAACCUUUCUAGCAAUAAAUAGCCAAAAUUAAUCGGCUGAAGAUCAAAGAUCUAUUUGCAUUAAAAAUCAAAGUGUAGAGGAGGGAGUGGACCACUUCAAAUGCUUUAAAUAAAACAUUCCAUUAUUUCUGAAAAGAUAAUUUGAAAAUUUUACAAGUCGUCCCAGUUUAGCAAGAAUUUUUUUAGGUAUAAAUAAGCAUAACAAUGCGGAAAACUGACCCAAGUACGACUUAAUGUUGCAGUUCCCUGCCAUGAAAAGAAAAAUAUUGGGAAGACUUUAGUUUAUUCUUCGUGUCAAUUUGGUAAGUUCUUUUUUAAAUUAGGUGACAAGUCUUAGAUUUAGAUUUCCUCAAUACAAGCUAAAGAAAAUAUUGUAGGAGAGUAUGUGUGUACAAAUCUCAAGUUUUGUUAUUAGCAAUUUGUUUAGUGUCCAACACAACUUUUUUCUAGCAAUAAAUUUCCAAAAUUAAUCCAUUGAAAAUCAAAGAUCUGUUUGCAUUCAAAAUCAAAGUGUAGAGGAUGGAGUGGGCCACUUCAAAUGCUUUAAAUGCUAUAUUCCAUUUUUUCUGAAAAUAAAAUAUGAAAAUUUUCGAAAUCAUCGUAGUUUAGCAAGAUUUUCUUUAUUUAUACAUAAACAUAACAAUGUAUAAAACUUACCUGGGUAUAUAUAAACAUAACAAUGCGCAAAACUGACCACAGUACGACCGAAUGGUGCAGUUCCCUGCCAUGAAAAGAAAAAUAGUGGGAAAAUUUUAGUUUAUUGUUCAAGUCUGAUUUGUAAGUUCUUCGUUAAAUUACGGACAAGUUUUAGAUACAGAUUUCCUCAAUAUAAGCUAAAGAGAAUAUUGCACUAUAGUUCGUGUACAAGUCUCAAUAUAAGCUAAAGAAAAUGUUGUAUGAUAAUUUGUUUGUACGAAUCUCAAAUUUUUACAUUGAUAUUUUUAUUUAUUGUCAGGCACAACUUCGUCUAGCAAUAAACUGCAAAAAAUAGCACGCUGAAAAUCACGAAUAAGUUUGCAUCAACAAUCAAAGUGUCAAGAAUGGCCAGGGCUGCCUCAAAUGUUUUAUAUGCACCGUUGCAUUUUUUUUCUCAAAAUAUAAUAUGAAAAAUUUUCUAGUCGUCCUAGUUUAGCAAUAUUCUUUUUAUAUAUAUAAAAACAUGACAAAGUAGAAAACUUACAUGAGUAAAAGUUGAUCCUGCCAGUGGCUGCCAUGAAAAGAAAUAUUAGAAAAACGUUAGUUUAUUUUUCAUGUCAACUUGGUAAGUUCUUGUUAAAUUACGUAACAAGCCUUAGAUUCCUUAAUAUACGUAAAGGAAAAUUUUGACGAUAGUUUGUGUGUAGAAAUCUAAAUUUUUUUUAUUCCCCAUUUGUUUGGUGUCAAACACAACUUCGUCUAGCAAUAAAUUGCCGAAAUUAACAUGCUAAAAAUCAGAGAUCUGUUUGAAUGAACAAUCGAAGUGUCGAGAAUGGUGACGGCUACUUCAAAUGCUUUAAAUGCUACAUUCCAUUUUUUCUGAAAAUAUAAUAUGAAAAAUCUCCAAGUCGUCGUCGUCCUGAAAGAUUUUUUUUAAGUAUAUAUAAACAUAACAAUGCGGAAAACUGACCUCUUCGUGACUUGAUGUUGCAGUUCCCUGCCACGAAAAGAAAACUAUUAGGAAGACUUUAGUUUAUUCUUCAUGUCAAUUCGGUAAGUUCUUUUUUAAAUUAUGUGAUAAGUCUUAGAUUUAGAUUUCAUCAAUACAAGCUAAAGAAAAUAUUGCAGGAGAGUAUGUGUGUACAAAUCUCAAAUUUUGUUAUUAGCAAUUUGGUUAGUGUCCAACACAACUUUUUCUAGCAAUAAAUUGUCAAAAUUAACCGCUGAAAAUCAAAGAUCUGUUUGCAUUUACAAUCAAAGUGUAGAGGAUGGAGUAGGCCACUUCAAAUGCUUUAAAGUCUAUAUUCAAUUUUUUCUGAAAAGAAAAUAUGAAAAUUUUCGAAAUCGGCGCAGUUUACUUAAACAUAACAAUGCGGAAAACUUACCCGAGUACGACCUGAUGCUUCAGUUCCGUGCCACUGAACUAAAAAUAUUAUGAAAACUUUAGUUUAUUCUUCACGUCAAAUUGGUAAGUUCUUUGUUAAAUUAUGUGACAAGUCUUAGAUAUAGAUUUCCUCAAUAUAAGCUAAAGAAAAUAUUGCACAAUACUUUGUGUACAAGUCUCAAUAUAGGCCAAAGAAAAUGUUGUAUGAUAGUUUGUUUGUACAAAUCUCAAAUUUUUACACUGAUAUUUUUAUUUAUUGUCUGACAAGACUUCGUCUAGCAAUAAAUUGCUAAAAACAACACGCUGAAAAUCAAGGAUAUGUUUGCAUCAACGAUCAAAGUUUAGGGAAUGGCCAGGGCUGACUUAAAUGCUUUAAAUGCAGCAUUGCAUAUUUUUCUCUGAAAAUAUAAUAUGAAAAAAUUUUCUAGUCAUCCCAAUUUUGCAAGAUUUCUCUUUAUGUAUAUAAAAGUUUAACAAUGUAGAAAACUUACCCGAGUAAACAGUGAUCCUGACCCGCUACCAGGAAAAGAAAUAUUAGAAAGGCUUUACUUUAUUCUUCAUGUCGAAUCAGUAAGUUCUUUAUUAAAUUACGUGACAAGUCUUAGGUUUAGAUUUCCUCAAUAUAAGCUAAAGAAAAAGCUUGACGAUAGUUUGUGUGCACAUAUCUCAUAUUUUGGUAUUAGCAAUUCAUUUAGUGUCAAGCACAACUUUGUCUAGCAAUGAAUUGCCAAAAUUAACACACUAAAAAUCAAAGAUCUAUUUGCAUGAACAAUCAAAGUGUUGGGAAUGGAGAGUGCUACCUGAAACGCUUUGGCUUCUGCAUUCCAUUUUUCUUGAAAGUAUAAUUUGGAAAAUCUUGAAGUUG